UGAACGUUGGCGGCGUGGAUUAGGCAUGCAAGUCGAGCGAGAAGCCUCCUUCGGGAGGCGGACAGCGGUGAAAGGGAGAGUAAUGUGUGGAUUACCUACCCUCGGGUCCGGAAUAGCCGCGGGAAACUGCGGGUAAUACCGGAUAAUAUCCCCGGAUCAAAGGUGUGAUUCCGCCCGGGGAUGGGUCCACAUCCUAUUAGCUUGUUGGUGAGGUAACGGCUCACCAAGGCCGCGAUGGGUACGGGGUGUGAGAGCAUGCCCCCGCUCACUGGGACUGAGACACUGCCCAGACACCUACGGGUGGCUGCAGUCGAGAAUCUUCGGCAAUGGGCGCAAGCCUGACCGAGCGACGCCGCGUGCGGGAUGAAGGCCUUCGGGUUGUAAACCGCUGUCAGAGGGGAUGAAAUGCCGGUGGGCUAUCCC
This 423-nucleotide ribosomal RNA is filed under the name uncultured Planctomycetota bacterium. RNAcentral describes it as "bacterial SSU rRNA". It matches the Rfam family "Bacterial small subunit ribosomal RNA", at positions 30 to 465 of the family's 1533-position model. Lineage: Bacteria; Pseudomonadati; Planctomycetota. The record is from RNAcentral.